This 164-nucleotide ribosomal RNA is filed under the name Ligularia hookeri. RNAcentral's name for it is "5.8S ribosomal RNA". It matches the Rfam family "5.8S ribosomal RNA". From Rfam's summary of the family: 5.8S ribosomal RNA (5.8S rRNA) is a component of the large subunit of the eukaryotic ribosome. It is transcribed by RNA polymerase I as part of the 45S precursor that also contains 18S and 28S rRNA. Functionally, it is thought that 5.8S rRNA may be involved in ribosome translocation. RNAcentral also lists the same sequence under 1 other name. Lineage: Eukaryota; Viridiplantae; Streptophyta; Magnoliopsida; Asterales; Asteraceae. The record is from RNAcentral.
CAAACGACUCUCGGCAACGGAUAUCUCGGCUCACGCAUCGAUGAAGAACGUAGCAAAAUGCGAUACUUGGUGUGAAUUGCAGAAUCCCGUGAACCAUCGAGUUUUUGAACGCAAGUUGCGCCCGAAGCCUUUCGGCCGAGGGCACGUCUGCCUGGGUGUCACAC